GACGAACGCUGGCGGCGUGCUUAACACAUGCAAGUCGAACGGGCCUGUCUUCUUUUUUGGGGGGUGGGUUGAGUGGCGAACGGGUGAGUAUCACGUGAGUAACCUGCCCUUCGGUCCUGGAUAACCGCUUGAAAGGGCGGCUAAUACGGGGUGGUCCGGUUGGUCCGCAUGGGCUGGUCGGGAUAGAUUCACUGUUUUUGGUGUUUCGGCGGGGGAUGGGCUCGCGGCCUAUCAGCUUGUUGGUGGGGUGAUGGCCUACCAAGGCGGUGACGGGUAGCCGGCCUGAGAGGGUGGGCGGCCACACUGGGACUGAGAUACGGCCCAGACUCCUGCGGGAGGCAGCAGUGGGGGGGAUUGCACAAUGGGCGGAAGCCUGAUGCAGCGACGUCGCGUGAGGGAUGGAGGCCUUCGGGUUGUGAACCUCUGUUUCCGGUGGUGAAGGCCCUGUCCGUGUGGUGGGGUUGACGGUAGCCGGGGAUGAAGCGCCGGCUAACUACGUG
This 500-nucleotide ribosomal RNA is filed under the name uncultured bacterium. Its description in RNAcentral is "partial 16S ribosomal RNA". It matches the Rfam family "Bacterial small subunit ribosomal RNA", at positions 28 to 507 of the family's 1533-position model. The record is from RNAcentral.